RNAcentral lists this ribosomal RNA (543 nucleotides) under uncultured Candidatus Poseidoniales archaeon. RNAcentral describes it as "bacterial SSU rRNA". It matches the Rfam family "Archaeal small subunit ribosomal RNA", at positions 1 to 549 of the family's 1478-position model. The record is from RNAcentral. Lineage: Archaea; Methanobacteriati; Thermoplasmatota; Candidatus Poseidoniia; Candidatus Poseidoniales.
ACCUGGUUGAUCCUGCCAGAGGCGACCGCUAUUGGAGUUCGAUUAAGCCAUGCGAGUAGAAAGAAAUUAGAUUCUUUGCAUACUGCUCAGUAACACGUGGAUAACCUGCCCUACACUGGGGGAUAAUCUCGGGAAACUGAGGAUAAUACCCCAUAGACCACUACGCCUGGAACGGUGAGUGGUUGAAAGCUCAGGCGGUGUAGGAUGGGUCUGCGGCGUAUCAGGUCGUAGGGGGUGUAAUGGACCUCCUAGCCAUCGACGCGUACGGGUUGUGGGAGCAAUAGCCCGGAGACGGAUUCUGAGACACGAAUCCGGACCCUACGGGGUGCAGCAGGCGCGAAAACUUCACACUGCAGGAAACUGCGAUGAGGGAACUCCAAGUGACUGCACAAUGUGUAGCCUUUUCUUGAAUUUUAAUAGUUCUUGGAACAAGGGCUGGGAAAGACCGGUGCCAGCCGCCGCGGUAAUACCGGCAGCUCGAGUGGUCGCCGCUUUUAUUGGGCCUAAAACGUCCGUAGCCUGUUUGGUAAAUCUGUGGGUAAA